RNAcentral lists this ribosomal RNA (431 nucleotides) under Speleomantes imperialis. RNAcentral describes it as "Hydromantes imperialis partial 16S ribosomal RNA". It matches the Rfam family "Bacterial large subunit ribosomal RNA", at positions 1993 to 2611 of the family's 2925-position model. Lineage: Eukaryota; Metazoa; Chordata; Amphibia; Caudata; Plethodontidae. The record is from RNAcentral.
UGAAUGGCAAAACGAAAGCUCAACUGUCUCCACAGAUUAAUCAAUGAAAUUGAUCUUUCCGUGCAGAAGCGGAAAUAUUUUUAUAAGACAAAAAGACCCUAUGGAGCUUCAAAUUUAAAUUAAUUAUAUAUGCUAAAAAUACAAUACAUAAUUUAAUGUAAGAUUUUAGGUUGGGGCGACCACGGAGUAAACUACAACCUCCGAGAUAAAUAAUUAAGAAAAACACUUCAAGAUAAUAAGACAAUUAAUAUACUUGAUCCAAUAUUUGAUCAACGAACCAAGUUACCCUAGGGAUAACAGCGCAAUCCUCUUAAAGAGUUCAUAUCGACAAGAGGGUUUACGACCUCGAUGUUGGAUCAGGGCCCCCUAAUGGUGCAGCAACUAUUAAGGGUUCGUUUGUUCAACGAUUAAAGCCCUACGUGAUCUGAGUU